RNAcentral lists this ribosomal RNA (327 nucleotides) under uncultured eukaryote. RNAcentral's name for it is "partial 18S ribosomal RNA". It matches the Rfam family "Eukaryotic small subunit ribosomal RNA", at positions 1470 to 1796 of the family's 1831-position model. The record is from RNAcentral.
CCCUUAGAUGUUCUGGGCCGCACACGCGCUACACUGAAGGAGGCAGCGUGUACUCCUGGAUCGAAAGAUUUGGGUAACCCGCGAAUCUCCUUCGUGCUAGGGAUUGAGGUUUGCAAUUAUCCUUCAUGAACGAGGAAUUCCCAGUAAGUGCAAGUCAUAAGCUUGCGCUGACUACGUCCCUGCCCCUUGUACACACCGCCCGUCGCUACUACCGAUUGAAUGAUUUAGUGAGGACUUCGGACUGGGACCGAUGCGGCUUUCGGGCUGCGUCGGUAUUCUGGAAAGAUGUCCAAACUGUAUCAUUUAGAGGAAGUAAAAGUCGUAACA